CUUAGUGGCGGACGGGUGAGUAACGCGUGGGCAACCUGCCUCACACUGGGGGAUAACAGUUAGAAAUAGCUGCUAAUACCGCAUAAGCGCACAGUUCCGCAUGGAACAGUGUGAAAAACUCCGGUGGUGUGAGAUGGACCCGCGUCUGAUUAGCCAGUUGGCGGGGUAACGGCCCACCAAAGCGACGAUCAGUAGCCGGACUGAGAGGUUGAACGGCCACAUUGGGACUGAGAUACGGCCCAGACUCCUACGGGAGGCAGCAGUGGGGAAUAUUGGGCAAUGGGGGAAACCCUGACCCAGCAACGCCGCGUGAGGGAAGAAGGUCUUCGGAUUGUAAACCUCUUUUACCAGGGGAGAAGAAAGUGACGGUACCUGGAGAAAAAGCCACGGCUAACUACGUGCCAGCAGCCGCGGUAAUACGUAGGUGGCAAGCGUUGUCCGGAUUUACUGGGUGUAAAGGGCGUGUAGGCGGGAAGACAGGUCAGAUGUGAAAUGUCGGGGCUCAACCCCGGAACUGCAUUUGAAACCGUUUUUCUUGAGUAUCGGAGAGGCAGGCGGAAUUCCUAGUGUAGCGGUGAAAUGCGUAGAUAUUAGGAGGAACACCAGUGGCGAAGGCGGCCUGCUGGACGACAACUGACGCUGAGGCGCGAAAGCGUGGGGAGCAAACAGG
RNAcentral lists this ribosomal RNA (670 nucleotides) under uncultured Lachnospiraceae bacterium. RNAcentral's name for it is "bacterial SSU rRNA". It matches the Rfam family "Bacterial small subunit ribosomal RNA", at positions 91 to 776 of the family's 1533-position model. The record is from RNAcentral. Lineage: Bacteria; Bacillati; Bacillota; Clostridia; Lachnospirales; Lachnospiraceae.